Molecule: long non-coding RNA, 1145 nt
Organism: Dreissena polymorpha
Lineage: Eukaryota; Metazoa; Mollusca; Bivalvia; Myida; Dreissenidae
Exons: 17
Source: RefSeq, a predicted model, not a curated record
ACAUGAGAUUUUGACAGAUGGCGGGAAACCCUCAUCAACUGGAGAUCAGCCGGUAAAAAGGUAGAGAAAUGUCUGCGACUCAGCCGAGGGCCACUGCAUAAGGGUUAUUGAUGGCAAAACAGGUUGGAGACUACAUGAGAUUUUGACAGAUGGCGGGAAACCCUCAUCAACUGGAGAUCAGCCGGUAGAGGAAUGUCUGCGACUAAGCCGAGGGCCACUGCAUAAGGGUUAUUGAUGGCAAAACAGGUAGAGGAAUGUCUGCGACUAAGCCGAGGGCCACUGCAUAAGGGUUAUUGAUGGCAAAACAGGUAGAGGAAUGUCUGCGACUAAGCCGAGGGCCACUGCAUAAGGGUUAUUGAUGGCAAAACAGGUAGAGGAAUGUCUGCGACUAAGCCGAGGGCCACUGCAUAAGGGUUAUUGAUGGCAAAACAGGUUGGAGACUACAUGAGAUUUUGACAGAUGGCGGGAAACCCUCAUCAACUGGAGAUCAGCCGGUAGAGGAAUGUCUGCGACUAAGCCGAGGGCCACUGCAUAAGGGUUAUUGAUGGCAAAACAGGUUGGAGACUACAUGAGAUUUUGACAGAUGGCGGGAAACCCUCAUCAACUGGAGAUCAGCCGGUAGAGGAAUGUCUGCGACUAAGCCGAGGGCCACUGCAUAAGGGUUAUUGAUGGCAAAACAGGUAGAGGAAUGUCUGCGACUAAGCCGAGGGCCACUGCAUAAGGGUUAUUGAUGGCAAAACAGGUAGAGGAAUGUCUGCGACUAAGCCGAGGGCCACUGCAUAAGGGUUAUUGAUGGCAAAACAGGUAGAGGAAUGUCUGCGACUAAGCCGAGGGCCACUGCAUAAGGGUUAUUGAUGGCAAAACAGGUUGGAGACUACAUGAGAUUUUGACAGAUGGCGGGAAACCCUCAUCAACUGGAGAUCAGCCGGUAGAGGAAUGUCUGCGACUAAGCCGAGGGCCACUGCAUAAGGGUUAUUGAUGGCAAAACAGGUUGGAGACUACAUGAGAUUUUGACAGAUGGCGGGAAACCCUCAUCAACUGGAGAUCAGCCGGUAAAAAGGUGGCCUUAAAACAGUGACCGUUGAUUCGCGUCGAGUUCUUUCUUACAUACUGCAUGACCUAUCUUUUUUAUUGUUUAAAUCCAU